RNAcentral lists this unclassified non-coding RNA (211 nucleotides) under soil metagenome. RNAcentral describes it as "partial contains 5.8S ribosomal RNA, internal transcribed spacer 2, and large subunit ribosomal RNA". The record is from RNAcentral.
AACGAGGCCGACCUGCGGCUGAGUUACCUGCGGAGGGAUCAUUACCGAGUUUACAACUCCCAAACCCCUGUGAACAUACCACUUGUUGCCUCGGCGGAUCAGCCCGCUCCCGGUAAAACGGGACGGCCCGCCAGAGGACCCCUAAACUCUGUUUCUAUAUGUAACUUCUGAGUAAAACCAUAAAUAAAUCAAAACUUUCAGCAACGGAUCU